UUUUUUUUUUUUUCCCAACCUCAAACAUAGGGGGGGGGGGGGGAAAAAAAAAAA
RNAcentral lists this microRNA precursor (54 nucleotides) under Choloepus hoffmanni (Hoffmann's two-fingered sloth). Its description in RNAcentral is "miRNA (ENSCHOG00000014621.1)". The record is from RNAcentral. Lineage: Eukaryota; Metazoa; Chordata; Mammalia; Pilosa; Megalonychidae.